Molecule: non-coding RNA, 102 nt
Filed under: Clostridium estertheticum
Lineage: Bacteria; Bacillati; Bacillota; Clostridia; Eubacteriales; Clostridiaceae
Description: Guanine sequence
Rfam family: Purine riboswitch aptamer
About the family: Riboswitches are metabolite binding domains within certain messenger RNAs that serve as precision sensors for their corresponding targets. Allosteric rearrangement of mRNA structure is mediated by ligand binding, and this results in modulation of gene expression. A class of riboswitches that selectively recognises guanine and becomes saturated at concentrations as low as 5 nM.
Source: RNAcentral
AAAAAAUUAUAUUCGCAAACUCAUAUAAGCUUAGAAAUAUGGUCUAAGCGUUUCUACCAAGUAACCGUAAAAGACUUGACUAUGGGUGUUUUGAUAAAUAAA